UGGCGACCGGCGCACGGGUGAGUAACACGUAUCCAACCUGCCGAUGACUCGGGGAUAGCCUUUCGAAAGAAAGAUUAAUACCCGAUGGCAUAGUUCUUCCGCAUGGUAGAACUAUUAAAGAAUUUCGGUCAUCGAUGGGGAUGCGUUCCAUUAGCUUGUUGGCGGGGUAACGGCCCACCAAGGCAUCGAUGGAUAGGGGUUCUGAGAGGAAGGUCCCCCACAUUGGAGCUGAGACACGGUCCAAACUCCUACGGGAGGCAGCAG
Molecule: ribosomal RNA, 264 nt
Filed under: uncultured bacterium
Lineage: Bacteria
Description: partial 16S ribosomal RNA
Rfam family: Bacterial small subunit ribosomal RNA
Source: RNAcentral